Molecule: non-coding RNA, 446 nt
Organism: Schizosaccharomyces pombe (fission yeast)
Lineage: Eukaryota; Fungi; Ascomycota; Schizosaccharomycetes; Schizosaccharomycetales; Schizosaccharomycetaceae
Source: the annotation of a GenBank genome assembly
GUUGGGAAUUUGAAAUCUUUGACUCAGUCAACGGCUGUCGUUGACCAGAAGAAUUAUUUGAUAGAGACACAUUACGCUCUUCCUCUUCAAUAAAAUGUUGUCCGACGUCUUGAUUAAGUGCAGCUUGUGCUGCGGCUACAGAAUCAGACUCUUGUUGAGCGCAUUUCUGUUGUACUCUUUGAAGCUCAGCCAAUACCGUAUUAAAAUCUCGGGUAAGCUUUGAUAAGGCGAAGGACGACGCUUCUUCUCCAUAUUUUGUAUCUUUGAUGUUGGCAAGCCUUACCAAGUCUGAACGAACCUUUUGAGAUAGUUCACGGGAUUGCUCUAAAACCUCAUGUAAGUUUUUCGUAAGGUUGUUUACCAAAUAUCUAUGAAUUGCUGCUGUGUUUCCUCGUAGAGCAUGAAUUUCCUGAGCAAUACUGCUCGCUAAGGCUGGAAAGUCACCA